AUUGAACGCUGGCGGCAGGCUUAACACAUGCAAGUCGAGCGGUAGCACAGGGGAGCUUGCUCCCUGGGUGACGAGCGGCGGACGGGUGAGUAAUGUCUGGGAAACUGCCUGAUGGAGGGGGAUAACUACUGGAAACGGUAGCUAAUACCGCAUAACGUCGCAAGACCAAAGAGGGGGACCUUCGGGCCUCUUGCCAUCAGAUGUGCCCAGAUGGGAUUAGCUAGUAGGUGGGGGUAAUGGCUCACCUAGGCGACGAUCCCUAGCUGGUCUGAGAGGAUGACCAGCCACACUGGAACUGAGACACGGUCCAGACUCCUACGGGAGGCAGCAGUGGGGAAUCUUAGACAAUGGGGGCAACCCUGAUCUAGCAAUACCGCGUGUGUGAAGAAGGCCCUAGGGUUGUAAAAGCACUUUUGUCUAGGGAGAAUGGCAUCUAUAGAUAAUACCUACAGAUGCUGA
This 459-nucleotide ribosomal RNA is filed under the name uncultured Serratia sp. Its description in RNAcentral is "bacterial SSU rRNA". It matches the Rfam family "Bacterial small subunit ribosomal RNA", at positions 30 to 491 of the family's 1533-position model. Lineage: Bacteria; Pseudomonadati; Pseudomonadota; Gammaproteobacteria; Enterobacterales; Yersiniaceae. The record is from RNAcentral.